Melopsittacus undulatus (budgerigar) is the source of this 1684-nucleotide long non-coding RNA. RefSeq lists it as uncharacterized. The record is from RefSeq and is a predicted model, not a curated record. Lineage: Eukaryota; Metazoa; Chordata; Aves; Psittaciformes; Psittaculidae. The transcript has 2 exons.
GGUCAUUCUCCCCCCCCCCCCCCAGACUGUAAAACCCAGAAAACUCCUCCUAAUUUUCAAAAGACAACGAGAAAAACGACAAUCUUAAGACACCAACACCCUCCUUUGUGCUUCUCUGGGCCCGCUUCGGGUCUCACUUUCUGUUCUCGUGCUCAUUGUACUGUUGACGGUUACAAUCGUGGGUAAUUUUUUUAAGUUGGGAUCCUUGGAUUUUUUUUUUCCUUUGAGUUUGGGGGGGAAAAAAAAAUCCAUUUUUUAAAAAGGGGUGUUGCAAAAAAAAAAAAGGAAAAAAAACCAACCCCCCCCCAAAAAAACAUUGCACGAUUUCAAUGACAAUAGUUAAAAUGCUGCAGUUUUUAGAGAUGUGGAAGCAAAAAUGGAGCUUAUUUAUUCUCAAAGGUUAUAAAAGGUGUAAAAUGCAUGAAGAAACAAACAAAACGACAAAAAAACUUUACAAAAAAAAACCAAAAAAGCCAAAAAAAGCAAAAAAAGCGUAACCUGAACAAAGUGGAACGUGCGAAUUUGGGAAGGAUGGCGAGAAAAGACGGGAAAAACAAGAAAAAAGACAAAAAAAAGCUAAUAUAUUGUGUUUGGGCUAGUUUGCUUUUGUUUUUAAUUGUUCCUUUUUUUGGAGAAUGAAAGACAAUUGUGUAUAUUUUCAUAUUAAGAAGUAUGCACUGAUAAUGUUUCCAAAAUGAUAUAUUCCUUUCUAAAAGUGUGGUUACUUAACCAAAGUCUUUGUUUCUGAUCUUUUACCUUCUUGACAUCUCUUGUGGAUCCCUCCCCACCGCGCGCGACCGGGGCUCGACGCCGCGGGCCGUAGGCAGAGGAUGCUGCACAAGUAGAGAUGAACCAGGACAGGACGUACACUUCCCCUGAGGAGUUUAUUUAUUGUUUUGAGAAGCAAUUGAAAAGGGAAGAAAAAAGGACAAAAAAAGGAUGAACUGUGUAUCUAUAAUAUAUAUAUCUCUAUAUUUUUGAACCUCUUUUGUUUUCCCGAUGCUCCUCCCCAUGUGUGUGUGUGCGUGCGUGUGUGAGGCAAGGGGUUCUGCGCCCGCGGGUGGCAGAUUGGGAUGCUCAUGGGAUGCUCAUGGGAUGGGCAUGCUCGUCCAUGCAGUAUGGAUCAGGAGGCACCCUGGUGUGUGCAUGGAGAAGGGGACCAGGCUGUCCCCUGCUCCAUGCUUUGGGUGGGAUGCUGCCAAGCAGCAGCAUUGCAAGGGAGGAUAUAUGGAGUUUGGGACUGGGAUCUUUGCCUAAUUCCAUCUUUCUCUUGAGUAUUUGCUGGCCUGGCUGAGAGCCUCCCGAGUCUUGGGGACACCAUCACCCCCAUCCCUGUCCCUUCCCAUCCCUGCUUCCGACCUGCACCCUUGACAAUCAGUGGCUCCUUCCCAGGGACUGCAGCCCGUGGUUGAGGCGUCCAGUUUGGUUUUCCAAUAUCCCUCUUUUUUUUGUGCUGUAUGGUGAUGCGUUAUUGUAUAUUCCACACUAAGACAAAACAAAGGAAAAAAAUAACAAAAAGGAAAAAAAAGAAAAAUAUAUUAAAAAAAAGAUGAUGAUGAUGAUGAUAAUAAUAAUAAUUACCAUGAAAAAUACUUACGAGUUUUGUUUGGAAACUCUUUCACUAUAUUUGUUGUAAAGAGGUUUACUAUUAAAAAAGAAAAGAAAAUACACGUUUCUGAUAAUU